AUGGAGGCAAGGUCAGAGGAAAAGGGAAAAAUGGGAAAGAUUUUAUUUAAAGCCCCUGGUCAUUCUUGCCUUUCCGCCCGCCCACCACGACCCCUCAAGCCAGAUGCCGUCUCUAGUUCGGGAACGUUGGAUGAGGAUGCCAGGCACUCUGCUUUUCCUAAACAACUUCCAAGAACCCCGGAACAUUUCUUAAAGUGUCUGGAACGAAGCUUUAACCUCGCCUGCUCCAUCAGCCUGGGACGGAAAAGACGCGAGGGGCGAAGAAGAGUUAGGUCUACAAGCCAGGUUCAAGGCCACCAACUGAGGCACCUGUCCCGAGACAGGACCAUUCUAAUCUGCCCUGAAAAGGACAUCCCAUUGAUCAUACUAAAUUUGUGGAUGGAUACCUAUGUGUUGACCAGACCCUCCCUCUUCAAUGAAAACUGCCUCUCCUUCCACUCCAUCUGUGAGGCACCCUUGGAUGCUGACAUGUGCUUACAUAGGACUUCCUGUCCACAGCCAGAAUUAGCCAGAAUUCACUGACCCAUGGUUGGACUCCUAAAAUACUCAAGAUGAGAGACAUGUUACUUUUCUUUACUAUAGUAACUAUCAAAUGCAUCCCAUAACCUUAUGUUGUAAACGUCAAAUAUGCACAAUAAAAUUUAUUUGAAAAAAUAAAGCUGGAAAAUUGAAAGUAAUGAAUGUUCAAUUAAAAUCUGCAAACAAGCUAAUAAAUAAAUACUCAAGAUGGACCAGUGACAGCCUUUCUCUAGAGUUUUUGAUUUGAGGCCAAGAAGGUUAGUGCAGCCUUUCUCCCAUGGCUGUCACUGUGAAGAUAAACAUUUGGGAAUUGAUGGCAGCCUUGUUUCUCCACCAGGCUGAAGAAACUAGGACCUGCGGGGGCUGAGAUUGGAGUGAAACAGAUGUGAAGAGAAAAGUGCUGGGUCCAGGUGGUCCUGGGGCCCAGCCAUGCUCUUUGUUUUUUUUUGUUUGUUUGUUUUUUGUUUGUUUGUUUGUUUUGUUUUAAUAGAUUUAAAUUGGUUCCUGCCAGGUACAGUCAAAGGCCUUUUUACCUGCUUCUCAGAGAAUUUCCCUCCGCCUGCCUGUGGCUAAUUCCUUCUCCUGCACCCUUGGUUCAGCCUCACCUGGUGACCCUUGUUCCAUCACUUCCACCACUUCUCUAGAAUCUUCAGUCAUUUCAGCAAUACAUAUGUUCAUCUUCCUGCCCAAAAACUGAAUAAGCAAAGACUUUCUUUCAUCUCUGACCCUCUUCAACUUCUGCCCUUCCCUUCUACUCACUAUCUCUAUUUUCUCACCUCCUACUUAAUGCCCAAUCUGCUGCUGCUAUCUUGCUCCAUUUCUUCUUCCCAUUUUCCUGAGGCUACUCUCUUGACAGGGAGUGCAUUGCAGAAUACAUCCAAUUUCUUGUGUUUAUGUUACUUGUCUGCA
Molecule: long non-coding RNA, 1428 nt
Organism: Pan paniscus (pygmy chimpanzee)
Lineage: Eukaryota; Metazoa; Chordata; Mammalia; Primates; Hominidae
Source: Ensembl